GAUGAAGAACGUAGCGAAAUGCGAUACGUAAUGUGAAUUGCAGAAUUCAGUGAAUCAUCGAGUCUUUGAACGCACAUUGCGCCCCCUGGUAUUCCGGGGGGCAUGCCUGUCCGAGCGUCAUUGCUGCCCUCAAGCACGGCUUGUGUGUUGGGCCUCCGUCCUCCUCCCGGGGGACGGGCCCGAAAGGCAGCGGCGGCACCGCGUCCGGUCCUCGAGCGUAUGGGGCUUCGUCACCCGCUCUGGUAGGCCCGGCCGGCGCUUGCCGACACAUCAAUCUUUUUUCCAGGUUGACCUCGGAUCAGGUAGGGAUACCCGCUGAACUUAAGCAUAUCAAUAAGCGGAGGA
Molecule: unclassified non-coding RNA, 345 nt
Filed under: soil metagenome
Description: partial contains 5.8S ribosomal RNA, internal transcribed spacer 2, and large subunit ribosomal RNA
Rfam family: 5.8S ribosomal RNA (bases 1-120)
Source: RNAcentral